RNAcentral lists this ribosomal RNA (247 nucleotides) under uncultured bacterium. RNAcentral describes it as "partial 16S ribosomal RNA". It matches the Rfam family "Bacterial small subunit ribosomal RNA", at positions 523 to 769 of the family's 1533-position model. The record is from RNAcentral.
AUACGGAGGGUGCAAGCGUUGUUCGGAAUUAUUGGGCGUAAAGCGCGCGUAGGCGGUCCAUUAAGUGUGCGGUGAAAUUCAGAGGCUCAACCUCUGUCCCGCCGCGCAAACUGGUGGUCUUGAGAUUGGGAGGGGGAUGCGGAAUUCCUGGUGUAGCGGUGAAAUGCAUUGAUAUCAGGAGGAACACCGGCGGCGAAAGCGGCAUCCUGGCUUAUAUCUGACGCUGAGGCGCGAAAGCGUGGGUAGC